This 74-nucleotide transfer RNA is filed under the name Staphylococcus haemolyticus. RNAcentral's name for it is "tRNA-Arg". The record is from RNAcentral. Lineage: Bacteria; Bacillati; Bacillota; Bacilli; Caryophanales; Staphylococcaceae. RNAcentral also lists the same sequence under 2 other names.
UCGUUGAUAGCCUUAGCGGUAAAGGCCCCCUCUGCGCAAGGGGUUCAGUGGUUCGAAUCCACUUCAGCGAGCCA